This is a long non-coding RNA of Portunus trituberculatus (swimming crab), 568 nucleotides long. RefSeq lists it as uncharacterized. The transcript is spliced from 3 exons. The record is from RefSeq and is a predicted model, not a curated record. NCBI's taxonomy places the organism in Eukaryota, Metazoa, Arthropoda, Malacostraca, Decapoda, Portunidae.
CUUAUUGUGUCUAUAGUUCUUUUGUCCAAUGACGUGCCACCACUUUUUAACAGCACGAGCUCCGCCAAUGGGAAUUUGCUAUAUGUAUUCAUAGGCGGGGCACAGCUGGGCAGACAGGUGCACAGGCAUCUGUGAUCUGUGUGAGCAGUUCAGCCAUGGCCACCAGUGACAUUAGUUGUAAAGGUUGCGAAUUUGAUAACUGGGAAAUCAUCGCUCCUGCGAUGUAAGUCAUUGUACAAUCGAGAAGAGGACCAGCCAGGACCUUCAUCCUUUCGUUAAGAGCAUUAUUAAUGAUUGGAGAGAUUCUGCCUACGGAGACUCCUCUGGGUCAUAAGAAACUCAAGUAAAUCUGCUAUAGUGACCAAGAUUCUAUCCACAGUCCUCUGAAGCAUGAGGUAGCAGUGCAGUAUUGAGCAUGGUGAUGGAACCUGGACUCACCUUGAUGCAUAUAACCUCAGAGAAAGCAGGUUCCUGGGCUGAGACGACGAGGGUGGUGGAGUAAGUGGAGGGCGUAAGUCUGGGCACCCACACCAGGGUACUGAUGUAUCUGUAAAUUUUUAGAUUUGCU